Lynx canadensis (Canada lynx) is the source of this 110-nucleotide small nuclear RNA. Its record names the gene U2. It matches the Rfam family "U2 spliceosomal RNA". Rfam says of the family: U2 is a small nuclear RNA (snRNA) component of the spliceosome (involved in pre-mRNA splicing). Complementary binding between U2 snRNA (in an area lying towards the 5' end but 3' to hairpin I) and the branchpoint sequence (BPS) of the intron results the bulging out of an unpaired adenosine, on the BPS, which initiates a nucleophilic attack at the intronic 5' splice site, thus starting the first of two transesterification reactions that mediate splicing. The record is from Ensembl. Lineage: Eukaryota; Metazoa; Chordata; Mammalia; Carnivora; Felidae.
AUCGCUUCUCAGCUUUUUGGCUAAGAUCAAAUGUAGUAUCUGUUCUUAUCAGUUUAAAAACUUUCCAGCCAGAAGAGAGAAUAUCAAAAUAUAUUUUAUUAGCACUCUUU